GUCCAGAGAUGGGAAUCGAACCCACAACGUUCCGCUUACCGGGCAGAUGCCAUGUCCACUAGGCUACCCUGGA
RNAcentral lists this transfer RNA (73 nucleotides) under Cordylochernes scorpioides. RNAcentral's name for it is "tRNA-Thr". The record is from RNAcentral. Lineage: Eukaryota; Metazoa; Arthropoda; Arachnida; Pseudoscorpiones; Chernetidae.